Molecule: ribosomal RNA, 430 nt
Filed under: uncultured bacterium
Lineage: Bacteria
Description: partial 16S ribosomal RNA
Rfam family: Bacterial small subunit ribosomal RNA
Source: RNAcentral
UGGGAAUAUUGCACAAUGGGCGCAAGCCUGAUGCAGCCAUGCCGCGUGUGUGAAGAAGGCCUUCGGGUUGUAAAGCACUUUCAGCGAGGAGGAAGGUGGUGAACUUAAUACGUUCAUCAAUUGACGUUACUCGCAGAAGAAGCACCGGCUAACUCCGUGCCAGCAGCCGCGGUAAUACGGAGGGUGCAAGCGUUAAUCGGAAUUACUGGGCGUAAAGCGCACGCAGGCGGUCCGUUAAGUCAGAUGUGAAAUCCCCGGGCUCAACCUGGGAACUGCAUUUGAAACUGGCAAGCUAGAGUCUCGUAGAGGGGGGUAGAAUUCCAGGUGUAGCGGUGAAAUGCGUAGAGAUCUGGAGGAAUACCGGUGGCGAAGGCGGCCCCCCUGGANGAAGACUGACGCUCAGGUGCGAAAAGCGUGGGGGCAGCAAACA